GGAAGUAAAAGUCGUAACAAGGUCUCCGUUGGUGAACUGCGGAGGGUCAUUACUGAGUUACCGCUCUAUAACCCUUUGUGAACAUACCUAACCGUUGCUUCGGCGGGCAGGGGAAGCCUCUCGGGGGCCUCCCCUCCCGGCGCCGGCCCCCACCACGGGGACGGGGCGCCCGCCGGAGGAAACCAAAAUCUAUUUACACGACGUCUCUUCUGAGUGGCACAAGCAAAUAAUUAAAACUUUUAACAGCGGAUCUCUUGGUUCUGGCAUCGAUGAAGAACGCAGAGAAAUGCGAUAAGUAAUGUGAAUUGCAGAAUUCAGUGAAUCAUCGAAUCUUUGAACGCACAUUGCGCUCGCCAGCAUUCUGGCGAGCAUGCCUGGUCGAGCGUCAUUUCAACCCUCAAGCACCGCUUGGUUUUGGGGCCCCGCGGCACACGUGGGCCCUUAAAGGUAGGGGCGGACCCUCCCGGAGCCUCCUUUGCGUAGUAACUAACGUCUCGCACUGGGAUCCGGAGGGACUCUUGCCGUAGAACCCCCCAAUUCUUUCAGGUGACCUCGGAUCAGGUAGGAAUACCGCUGAAUUAAGCA
RNAcentral lists this ribosomal RNA (585 nucleotides) under Colletotrichum lupini. Its description in RNAcentral is "eukaryotic LSU rRNA". The stretch from base 235 to 388 matches the Rfam family "5.8S ribosomal RNA". Lineage: Eukaryota; Fungi; Ascomycota; Sordariomycetes; Glomerellales; Glomerellaceae. The record is from RNAcentral.